GUGUCAGCAGCCGCGGUAAAACCAGCACCUCAAGUGGUCAGGAUGGUUAUUGGGCCUAAAGCAUCCGUAGCCGGCUCUGUAAGUUUUCGGUUAAAUCUGUACGCUCAACGUACAGGCUGCUGGGAAUACUGCAGAGCUAGGGAGUGGGAGAGGUAGACGGUACUCGGGAGGAAGUGGUAAAAUGCUUUGAUCUCUCGAUGACCACCUGUGGCGAAGGCGGUCUACCAGAACACGUCCGACGGUGAGGGAUGAAAGCUGGGGGAGCAAACCGGAUUAGAUACCCGGGUAGUCCCAGCUGUAAACUAUGUAAACUCAGUGAUGCACUGGCUUAUGGCCAGUGCAGUGUUGCAGGGAAGCCGUUAAGUUUACCGCCUGGGAAGUACGUACGCAAGUAUGAAACUUAAAGGAAUUGGCGGGGGAGCACCACAAGGGGUGAAGCCUGCGGUUCAAUUGGAGUCAACGCCAGAAAUCUUACCCGGAGAGACAGCAGAAUGAAGGUCAAGCUGAAGACUUUACCAGACAAGCUGAGAGGUGGUGCAUGGCCGUCGCCAGCUCGUGCCGUGAGAUGUCCUGUUAAGUCAGGUAACGAGCGAGAUCCCUGCCUCUAGUUGCCACCAUUACUCUCAGGAGUAGUGGGGCGAAUUAGCGGGACCGCCGCAGUUAAUGCGGAGGAAGGAAGGGGCCACGGCAGGUCAGUAUGCCCCGAAACUCUGGGGCCACACGCGGGCUGCAAUGGUAACGACAAUGUGUUCCGAAUCCGAAAGGAAGAGGUAAUCCUCAAACGUUACCACAGUUAUGACUGAGGGCUGCAACUCGCCCUCACGAAUAUGGAAUCCCUAGUAACUGCGUGUCAUUAUCGCGCGGUGAAUACGUCCCUGCU
RNAcentral lists this ribosomal RNA (880 nucleotides) under uncultured archaeon. RNAcentral's name for it is "bacterial SSU rRNA". It matches the Rfam family "Archaeal small subunit ribosomal RNA", at positions 455 to 1334 of the family's 1478-position model. The record is from RNAcentral.